UCACAGUACUGACAAAUUGACGGGCUUGAAAAAGUCGCCUGUAUGGUUUUUAUUUAAACGCUGUGAGAUUAAUUUAAGCGUCGGCUAAGCUAUGUGAUGCGAAUGUAUAUUAUAAAUCAAUUCUGUGUAACACGCAGCCUCGUUACAACU
Molecule: small nucleolar RNA, 150 nt
Organism: Drosophila melanogaster (fruit fly)
Lineage: Eukaryota; Metazoa; Arthropoda; Insecta; Diptera; Drosophilidae
Source: Ensembl